RNAcentral lists this non-coding RNA (46 nucleotides) under Tropicimonas marinistellae. RNAcentral describes it as "SAM-SAH-Weickhmann-2018 RNA". It matches the Rfam family "SAM/SAH riboswitch aptamer". Lineage: Bacteria; Pseudomonadati; Pseudomonadota; Alphaproteobacteria; Rhodobacterales; Roseobacteraceae. The record is from RNAcentral.
CCGUCACAACGGCUUCCUGGCGUGGCGGUGUAGCUUUAGUGGAGCA